Molecule: ribosomal RNA, 422 nt
Filed under: uncultured bacterium
Lineage: Bacteria
Description: partial 16S ribosomal RNA
Rfam family: Bacterial small subunit ribosomal RNA
Source: RNAcentral
GUGGGGAAUCUUGCGCAAUGGGCGAAAGCCUGACGCAGCCAUGCCGCGUGAAUGAUGAAGGUCUUAGGAUUGUAAAAUUCUUUCACCGGGGACGAUAAUGACGGUACCCGGAGAAGAAGCUCCGGCUAACUUCGUGCCAGCAGCCGCGGUAAUACGAAGGGGGCUAGCGUUGCUCGGAAUUACUGGGCGUAAAGGGCGCGUAGGCGGACAGCUUAGUCAGAGGUGAAAGCCCAGGGCUCAACCUUGGAAUUGCCUUUGAUACUGGCUGUCUUGAGUUUGGGAGAGGUGAGUGGAACUCCGAGUGUAGAGGUGAAAUUCGUAGAUAUUCGGAAGAACACCAGUGGCGAAGGCGACUCACUGGCCCAAUACUGACGCUGAGGCGCGAAAGCGUGGGGAGCAAACAGGAUUAGAAACCCUAGUGU